CUGCGGAAGGAUCAUUAUCGAGUUUUGAAUGGGUUGUCUGCUGGCUCGCAAGGGCAUGUGCACGCCUGUCUCAUCCACUCUCAACUUCUGUGCACUUUUCAUAGGCCGGCUUGUGGGUGCGUUCGCGCACUUGUAGGUGUCGGGCUUAUGCUUUACUACAAACGAUUCAGUUUUAGAAUGUCAUACUUUGCUAUAACGCAAUUAUAUACAACUUUCAGCAACGGAUCUCUUGGCUCUCGCAUCGAUGAAGAACGCAGCGAAAUGCGAUAAGUAAUGUGAAUUGCAGAAUUCAGUGAAUCAUCGAAUCUUUGAACGCACCUUGCGCUCCUUGGUAUUCCGAGGAGCAUGCCUGUUUGAGUCUCAUGGAAUUCUCAACCUUCAGCUUUAUUGAUGAAGGCUUGGACUUGGAGGUCGUGCCGGCUCUCGUAGUCGGCUCCUCUGAAAUGCAUUAGUGCGAACGUUACCAGCCGCUUCAGCGUGAUAAUUAUCUGCGUUGCUGUGGAGGGUAUUCUAGUGUUCACGCUUCUAACCGUCUUCGGACAAAUUUCUGAACUCUGAGCUCAAAUCAGGUAGGACUACCCGCUGAACUUAAGCAUAUCAA
This 601-nucleotide ribosomal RNA is filed under the name Bjerkandera sp. ZLY-2010. RNAcentral's name for it is "eukaryotic LSU rRNA". The stretch from base 210 to 363 matches the Rfam family "5.8S ribosomal RNA". Lineage: Eukaryota; Fungi; Basidiomycota; Agaricomycetes; Polyporales; Phanerochaetaceae. The record is from RNAcentral.